CCUACUUUAAGUCAACCGGCCGUUUCGACAAAUUUCCAGUGCCAUUUAUGUCUCAAAUCAUUUCAAAGUUCCCGCGGUCUCAAUAUCCAUUUUUCCAAAACGCACAGAAACUGUUUAUCACAAAAUGCUGCUACAGCUUCGAAUUUUUCGACCCCGCCGCUCUCUAAUGACGCCCCGUCCCCGUCUCGUCCGAAUCUGCAUCUCUACCUUAGUUACCUCAAAAAUAGCUUUCCAGUUGCAAAAAGAAUUCCUCGCGGUGCUAGGAUAUGCGUUGCCACACGCCUGUCCUAUUUAAUUGACCAAUGCGUGACGGUUAACGACAUGGAUACAUGGAGCAAUCUCCUUACCUUUGUGUACAACACUCUGCAUGUCACCUCUGAGGACAAACAGCUAUCCCUAACUCAAAAAAUCAAAAAUAACUGUGUUAAGCCUUUAGAAUUGCCAUUCGACAAAACAGCACGAGUAGGUUACAAGCUUUCUGCCUUCAACCUAGCAAAAACAGUAGAAAAUAAGAUUACGGACGGAGACUUGAAAGGCGCCGCUCGUAUUUUGUUUUCUAGUGACGUUUUAUCACCAGAUUCUACCGAAACCCUGUCAGCCUUGCGGUCAAAGCAUCCCUCAGCCUCUACUGCUCCGUUUUUCUUGGAUCCACCAACUGCGAUCGAAGAAUGCCUCCAAAUCGAAGAUAAGGAUAUAGUCGACGCAAUUUUCAAUUUCAAAACCGGCUCAGCGGGAGGUCUCGACGGAAUCUCACCACAACACCUUAAAGAUCUUAUAGCGCACUGUGUUGGCGAUGCCGGCAGAAAACUCAUUACAUCUUUAACCAACAUGAUAAAUCUUAUGUUGAGUGGCCGUGUACAUGCAGAUAUUGUCCCCAUUCUCUACGGAGCCAAUUUAAUUGCUCUAACGAAAAAGGACGGUGGCGUGAGACCAAUCGCAGUUGGAUCGACGUUUAGACGUUUGGCAUCUAAAAUCUCUGUUCGACACAUUAUUUCAAAAUUACAGCAUAGGUUUGAACCAGUCCAACUUGGUUGUGGUACAAAAGGUGGUUGCGAGGCGGCUGUUCACGCGCUUCGCACAUACCUCAGCAACGACCAAUGCCAAGUUGUAUUAAAGAUUGACAUAAAAAACGCAUUUAACUCUGUGAAUAGAGACACCCUGCUGUCGGAAAUCAGGAAUAACACCCCAGAGCUUUAUAAUUACCUUCUUCAUUGCUACGCUGAUCCUUCCAAAUUAAUGUACCGCAGUCAUGAAAUUUCUUCAGAGGUUGGAUGCCAGCAGGGGGAUCCCUUGGGGCCAGCUAUUUUUUGUUUAGCAAUCAACCCCAUCAUUCAAAAUUUAUCUUCUGAUUUUAAUGUCUGGUACUUGGACGAUGGAACCUUAGGAGGCAAGUUGGAAACAGUCCUUUCGGAUCUCUCCGUCCUCAAGUCCAAGUUCGAGUCCAUAGGUCUAGAUCUGAACUGUAAUAAAUGUGAACUUUACAUUCACGAUGCGUUUCUAAACCAUUCGGACGUAACAGAGAAAUUCAAUGCUUUAACACCUAAUGUUACCACUGUCACGAGAGAUUCCCUUAGCCUACUGGGGACUCCAAUUUUUGACAAUUAUUUUUCAACUUUUAUCAGUAACUCCGUUUCUAAAUUUCAAAAUUACGCCGACCGUCUUCUAGAAAUAAGCCCCCAUUCAGCCCUCACCAUUCUUAAAUUUUGCCUUUUUGUUCCAAAGUUAAUGUAUGUGCUUCGCUGCAGUCCUUUCUGGAAACAUCAAAAUUUGCUCCUACCUAUAGACAUCAUGGUCCAGACUACCUUAGAGCGUAUUCUCAAUUUAAAGCUAUCCGAUCAAUCGUGGUCGCAAGCAUCGCUACCUGUUCGAUAUGGCGGGCUGGGGUUGCGCAGAAUUUCUAGCGUAUCACUGCCGGCAUUUCUAUCGUCUGUCCACAGCUCUGCUGAUCUUGUAGGAAAAAUCCUAAGGGUUUUACCCACAAACUAUGAGGUCACAGGCUUGGACGAUGCUAGAAAUGCCUGGCUGUCUGCCUGCCCGGGACAAGACCCUCCAUAUAAUCUAAAAUCACAGAGGAGCUGGGAUGACGCCUUAUCGAAAUUAACUUAUACCACAUGUUUAGAUAACAGCGAAGGAGCUGAACGCGCCCGUUUGAUCGCAGUUGGGUGUAGGGAGGCUGGCCACUGGCUCAACGCAUAUCCCUCGCCCAAUACUGGCACUCAUUUAGAUGGAAACACCCUCCGUGUGGCAGUUGGGCUGCGCCUGGGGGUUCCAAUCUGUGCACCGCAUAAAUGCCACUGUGGGAGUGAUGUGGACCAGCUGGGGCGUCAUGGUCUGUCUUGCCAGCGAAGCGCGGGGCGAUUGUCACGUCACGCCGCGCUCAAUGACAUUAUCCGUCGGUCUCUUGUCACCGUCAACGUGCCAGCGAUACUCGAGCCGACCGGUAUGGCCCGGGACGAUGGCAAGAGACCGGAUGGUAUUGUGGGACGCGACCUGUGUGGACACACUGGCACCGUCUCACCUUCACGGUAC
Long non-coding RNA from Cydia splendana, 2529 nucleotides. RefSeq lists it as uncharacterized. The transcript has 2 exons. The record is from RefSeq and is a predicted model, not a curated record. NCBI's taxonomy places the organism in Eukaryota, Metazoa, Arthropoda, Insecta, Lepidoptera, Tortricidae.